GAUGAACGCUGGCGGCGUGCCUAAUACAUGCAAGUCGAGCGAACAGACGAGGAGCUUGCUCCUCUGACGUUAGCGGCGGACGGGUGAGUAACACGUGGAUAACCUACCUAUAAUACUGGGAUAACUUCGGGAAACCGGAGCUAAUACCGGAUAAUAUAUUGAACCGCAUGGUUCAAUAGUGAAAGACGGUUUUGCUGUCACUUAUAGAUGGAUCCACGCCGCAUUAUCUAGUUGGUAAGUUAACGGCUUACCAAGGCAACGAUGCGUAGCCGACCUGAGAGGGUGAUCGGCCACACUGGAACUGGGACACGGUCCAGACUCCUACGGGAGGCAGCAGUAGGGAAUCUUCCGCAAUGGGCGAAAGCCUGAUGGAGCAAGCCCGCGUGAGUGUUGAAGGUCUUCGGAUCGUAAAACUCUGUUAUUAGGGAAGAACAAAUGUGUAAGUAGCUAUGCACGUCUUGACGGUACCUAAUCAGGAAGCCACGGCUAACUACGUG
Molecule: ribosomal RNA, 497 nt
Filed under: uncultured bacterium
Lineage: Bacteria
Description: partial 16S ribosomal RNA
Rfam family: Bacterial small subunit ribosomal RNA
Source: RNAcentral